Molecule: transfer RNA, 77 nt
Filed under: Vulcanisaeta sp. EB80
Lineage: Archaea; Thermoproteati; Thermoproteota; Thermoprotei; Thermoproteales; Thermoproteaceae
Also listed under: 1 other name
Description: tRNA-Arg
Rfam family: tRNA
About the family: Transfer RNA (tRNA) molecules are approximately 80 nucleotides in length. Their secondary structure includes four short double-helical elements and three loops (D, anti-codon, and T loops).
Source: RNAcentral
GGGCCCGUAGCUUAGCCAGGUAGAGCGCCCUGGGGCGAACCGGGAGGUCCCGGGUUCAAAUCCCGGCGGGCCCACCA